RNAcentral lists this ribosomal RNA (253 nucleotides) under uncultured bacterium. RNAcentral describes it as "partial 16S ribosomal RNA". It matches the Rfam family "Bacterial small subunit ribosomal RNA", at positions 524 to 776 of the family's 1533-position model. The record is from RNAcentral.
AACGUAGGAGCCAAGCGUUAUCCGAAUUCACUGGGCGUAAAGCGCGUGCAGGCGGCUGCGCAAGUUGGGUGUGAAAUCUCCCGGCUCAACUGGGAGAGGCCGCUCAAGACUGCGUGGCUCGAGGCUGGUAGAGGGAGGUGGAAUUCCCGGUGUAGUGGUGAAAUGCGUAGAUAUCGGGAGGAACACCAGUGGCGAAAGCGGCCUCCUGGACCAGACCUGACGCUAAGAUGCGAAAGCUAGGGGAGCAAACGGG